AAACUCAAAGGAAUUGACGGGGACCCGCACAAGCGGUGGAUUAUGUGGAUUAAUUCGAUGCAACGCGAAAAACCUUACCUACCCUUGACAUGCCAGGAAUCCCGAAGAGAUUUGGGAGUGCCCGAAAGGGAAUCUGGACACAGGUGCUGCAUGGCUGUCGUCAGCUCGUGUCGUGAGAUGUUGGGUUAAGUCCCGCAACGAGCGCAACCCUUGCCAUUAAUUGCCAUCAUUCAGUUGGGCACUUUAAUGGGACUGCCGGUGAUAAACCGGAGGAAGGUGGGGAUGACGUCAAGUCCUCAUGGCCCUUAUGGGUAGGGCUUCACACGUAAUACAAUGGUCGGUACAGAGGGUCGCCAACCCGCGAGGGGGAGCCAAUCCCAGAAAGCCGAUCGUAGUCCGGAUUGUUCUCUGCAACUCGAGAGCAUGAAGUCGGAAUCGCUAGUAAUCGCGGAUCAGCAUGUCGCGGUGAAUACGUUCCCGGGUCUUGUACACACCGCCCGUCACACCAUGGGAGCGGGUUCUGCCAGAAGUAGCUAGUCUAACCGCAAGGAGGACGGUUACCACGGCGGGGUUCGUGACUGGGGUGAAGUCGUAACAAGGUAGCCGUAUCGGAAGGUGCGGCUGGAUCACCUCCUUUCUG
RNAcentral lists this ribosomal RNA (640 nucleotides) under uncultured Sideroxydans sp. RNAcentral describes it as "bacterial SSU rRNA". It matches the Rfam family "Bacterial small subunit ribosomal RNA", at positions 897 to 1533 of the family's 1533-position model. Lineage: Bacteria; Pseudomonadati; Pseudomonadota; Betaproteobacteria; Nitrosomonadales; Gallionellaceae. The record is from RNAcentral.